UUGAACGCUGGUGGCAUGCUUUACACAUGCAAGUCGAACGGCAGCGCGGGGGCAACCCUGGCGGCGAGUGGCGGACGGGUGAGUAAUAUAUCGGAACAUAUCCGGAAGUGGGGGAUAACGUAGCGAAAGUUACGCUAAUACCGCAUAUGCCCUGAGGGGGAAAGGGGGGGAUCGCAAGACCUCUCGCUUUCGGAGUGGCCGAUAUCAGAUUAGCUAGUUGGUGAGGUAAAGGCUCACCAAGGCGACGAUCUGUAGCUGGUCUGAGAGGACGACCAGCCACACGGGGACUGAGACACGGCCCAGACUCCUACGGGAGGCAGCAGUGGGGAAUUUUGGACAAUGGGCGCAAGCCUGAUCCAGCCAUGCCGCGUGAGUGAAGAAGGCCUUCGGGUUGUAAAGCUCUUUCGGACAGAAAGAAAUCGCACUGGUUAAUACCUUGUGUGGAUGACGGUACUGUAAGAAGAAGCACCGGCUAACUACGU
Molecule: ribosomal RNA, 482 nt
Filed under: uncultured bacterium
Lineage: Bacteria
Description: bacterial SSU rRNA
Rfam family: Bacterial small subunit ribosomal RNA
Source: RNAcentral